GGAUGUGAGGAUGACCUGGCUGCGACAUCUGUCACCCCACCGAUCGCCAGGGUUGAUUUGGCUGAUCUGGCUGGCUAGAUAGGUGUCCCCCUCCUCCCUCACCACUCUAUGUGUGUCCCUCCUGACGCUGCAUGCUUGGUUGAAGAGGACGACCUUCCCUGAUGGAGCAGGACCAUUCUUCGGUCAAGGGUAUACAAGUAGCUGUGCUCCCCUCCAAGAACCUCUAAACAAGCUCUCAAGAUAGACAUGUCCUUAAAGUUGUCAUCAUUAAAUAUAAAAGUUUUAUUCUACCAAGGUUUGCUGAUGGGCAAAAAGUUCUAUGAU
Non-coding RNA from Canis lupus familiaris (dog), 324 nucleotides. NCBI's taxonomy places the organism in Eukaryota, Metazoa, Chordata, Mammalia, Carnivora, Canidae. The record is from Rfam.